Molecule: long non-coding RNA, 2713 nt
Organism: Peromyscus californicus insignis
Lineage: Eukaryota; Metazoa; Chordata; Mammalia; Rodentia; Cricetidae
Exons: 2
Source: RefSeq, a predicted model, not a curated record
AGCAAGCCAAGUAAAAUAAGGCUGGAGAGACAUUUUGUUUGUGUUUAAUGGGACACAGAGCCAGGAGGAGGGAGAUAAAGAGGUGGCAUGGGAACGCUUACUACUGGGAAGCCCAAACCCCCACUGCUGGCAGGAACCCGAGCCUCUCCUGCUGGUAUGUGGUAUACUUCAUGUCUCAUUUGUGACUGCAGACACUAGCCACACAGGUGUGGGAACAGUAGCCCAGGCAGAAACUGCCACCCUCUGUGGGAGUCCUGUCGGCUUUACCUUUCCUCAGCACUGGAGGCUCCAGGAGCAAAGAGCUGCUGAGCUUGAGAUGGAGAAGACUAGGAGCCUGACUAGUGCAGUGCUUUACAAAAAACCAAAGCAACAAACGAAGGAACCCACGUGUGGUGGGCUUGGCAACCGCAGCUCUGUCUGGUCAAAGAGUCAGGAAUGGAUCAGAAGGUAGCAGAUACAAUUGGUAAGUAUUGAUCUGAAUCCCGGUGUUUGUAAAGCAACACAAGUCUAUAGUUACCCCACAAAGCACAAACGCCAUGCAUAUCUCUACUCUUCCUCUAGGAAACACAUCUCAAACUUUAAGGAGUCAGAGAGUUAGUAGCAAAAAGUUGGGGAAAGGAGUAAGUGCUACAGAGCUGUGUCAAGCCAGUAGUGGGAGGACUGUCGCUGGCUCCCCCAUUCAGCAGCAUCUUCUUGGCACUUCAUCCCCAAGUGCCAAGGCACUUGAUGUGGCAGCAAGUGCACAGUCUCUUCACCAUGGAGCUGGCACUUAGAGAUGAUAUUUGACACAAAUAAGUGGAUAGUGCUGGGAAAGGCACCACACACAUCAGCCACCCAAAGGCAACGGUGUGGAGUUAGGCGGCUGUGUGCCUGGGAAGGAGCAGCCAACUGGGGGAAGAGUAAGAACCAGAACCUGCCAGCAGGGACUGCUCCCCUGGUCCUGUGAAACUAGAGGGAGAGAAGCCACCCGGGGAACGAAAGGGUAAGUAGAUACAGGUCAUGGUUAUGAUGGGGUCAGUUCAACACAGGCCCGGAAGCCUGUGGGACAGACCUGAGGAGCAGCAUGAAGUAAGUCAGGUUGCUGAUAGGGAGACUGUCGGGGACAAGGGUAAGAAGAAGCCAGGUUUGGGACCUGCCUUGAAGGUAGAGCAAGCAAGAUCCUCUUGGUGCCUUGGGUCUUGGAUUCGCAUACACAUAGGAGUGGUAAGGACAAUCCCAAAGACAGUGGCCUGAUAGACUGAAGCAAUUGGCAUCUGAGACAAGGAAGAUGUCGUCAGCAAACAGUAGUUUGCCAGGGCAAUUCAAAACUUGCCUUGUACAUUCCAAGUCUGGUAGUCGGUGAGAUGCUUGAUUGAAUAUGUUGACCAGACAGUCAUACACAGGAGUCUGGAGUCCAGAGAAGACUUGGUGACAGGUGUAAAUUAAGAGAUUCAUCAGCUUAUCAACAAACAUGGAGAAGGGGGAUGCACACCCAGAGAAGAGAGACUGAGAACUGCAUUAUUCCAUGUUAAAUAAGAGGAUUGGCAUUUUAAAAGCUAAGAUUCAUUGAGCAUGGCCAGAUGUCAGACAAUGAAUAGGCAGACAUGAAGAAAAUACCAGUCAAGGCCUCCGCUGUACAGGGCUACCAGCACUAACACCCAGCACCCAUCUGCAGACAGUUGAAGCAAUCCCUGUCUCCUUUGCUCAUAAUGUGGCCAGCAAUAAACCUGCUACAGCACUAGCGUGUCCCUGCUCUCAGAGAACAGCACCGCCUAUCUUGCCACUGAUUGCUUCACAAUCUGGGCUUGGCAAGGAACAGAACAAUGCCCAUGGGAACACAAGGUGUGGGCGGCUGGGGGUGAGUCCUCAAGCAUCCAGCCCAAGCUAAGCACCUGGGUUCUUCCUGUGUCCACGUGCCUGCUGGACUUGGACAUUGCCCUGACUGAGCCAGUCGGCAAACCUGCUGGAGCUGGCUCUGCCUGACACAGCCCCUGCUCUCCAAGCUCGCUAGACUAGAAGCACAGCCAAUAGGAUGCAGAGAAGUGUCAGUCAGUCCUCGGCUUUGACUGAUAAUCAAACUCCAUCCAGAUAUCUUGUUCCUGCCUUAAGAAGGAAAAUGCCUUCCUGGAAUUACAGAUUACAAAUGAAGCUCUUAGACUUGCUUCUUGCACUUAGCCUGAAAAAAAAAAAAAAAAAAAAAAAAAAAAAAAAGCCUAGCAGUGGUGGUGAAUGCCUUUAAUCCCAACAUUUGGGAGACAGAGGCAGGUGGAUCUUGGAGUUUGAGGCUAGCCUGGUCUACGGAGCAAGUUCCAAGACAGCCAGAGAUACACAGAGAAACCUUAGAAACCUUGCCUCUAAAAAAUAAACAAAAAACAAAAAGGGAGAAAGAGGUGAUAACAGUCCCAUGCCCACUGUGGGGUGCUCAGGGUGCCAUUUCUAUUCACCUCCUUGGAUCCUCAUGCAAUCUGACUUAGUCUGAGAAAGGGCCCUGGGGAAAUGGUUGUGUGGGAUCCUAUUCAGUACUCGGCUUUCAUGAUUAUAUAGCUUAAGAACAGACAUGAUGGGAAGAUAACCCAAACAAAAGGACUCAUGUGUCUGACCUGAGCUUGACGUUAGCACUUGACAUGGCCCUGCUGGUCAAGUGUGCCGGUGAGUGGCACAGAACCAUGCUGGCCUUUCUCUUGUGUCCAGUCCCUCUCAGACCCUGAAUAAAGUUUUCAGAUGAUUGUCUGGA